AGGCAAGAUUGGGAGCUUGACAGGGGCAACAAGGAAGUUGAUCUUAGCUUCAUUGAGAGUCAGCAAUGGAAGCCAGUUUUUGGUGAAGCCUCCAUGGCAGAAAGGCCUCUCAGAAAGAUUCAGAGCCCUGAACGCCAAGGCCCAAUUCAUUUCUCUGCAUCUUCAGCACAUCAAUCCGCACCUUCUUUCUCUGUUUCUCCUAGCUCUGCCUCUGCUCUUUCUUUACAUCCACCUUCUUCUUCUGCCUCGUCUUCUAGUUCGAGACUUCUAUUUCCUUUUGCUUUUGAAGGGUGUAAUCAACCUAUUCAAUUCCCCCACCAAUUCAGAACAAACCCUUCCAUGCCUUAUUUCCGUCCACCACAACAAGGGGCACAAAAUCAACAACAAAUGAUUUCUUUUGCUCAAAACCAGCAGCAAGGCAUCUCUUAUCCUCCGCUUUUUGCUGGAGAAUUUGCAUUGGCAAACCAACGGCAGCAGCAGCAGAUGUUACAAUAUUGGAAUGAUUCACUGAACUUAAGUCCAAGAGGAAGGAUGAUGAUGAUGAAUAGGCUGGGCCCAGACGGAAGGCCAUUGUUUAGGCCACCGGUUCAGCUUCAGCCCAUAAACACAACAAAGCUUUACAGGGGAGUGAGGCAAAGACAUUGGGGUAAAUGGGUAGCUGAGAUUCGUCUCCCCCGUAAUAGGACUCGGCUUUGGCUAGGCACGUUUGACACAGCUGAAGAUGCUGCCAUGGCUUAUGAUCGCGAGGCUUUUAAGUUGAGAGGAGAGAAUGCAAGGCUAAAUUUCCCUGAACUUUUCCUCAAUAAGGAUAAAGCAAUCUCCACUGCUACAACUGCCGCAGUUUCGUCUCCUCCAACUCCCAAUAAAAGUUCAUCACCUAAACAAACUCAAGAAAUUCUUGACUUGCAGGAUUCAAAUGUGGAAAGUAUGCCACCGUUACCACCACUGCCACCUCCGCUGCAGCCCCUGUCACAGCAGCCUCAAGGAGACAAUCCUGACAAUGA
This 1004-nucleotide unclassified non-coding RNA is filed under the name Hevea brasiliensis (rubber tree). Lineage: Eukaryota; Viridiplantae; Streptophyta; Magnoliopsida; Malpighiales; Euphorbiaceae. The record is from RNAcentral.